UGUAGGGUUUGCACCGAGAGCUUCCCUUUGAGCUUCAGGUUUGAAAGGAUGUAAAAAUUCAAAGCAAAGUUCAAUCCAAACAUGCAAGCAUCACCUGGUUUUUGCCUCAAAAUCAUGCAAUGCUGCAAGACUAUGAUAUGAAAUGGGCCCAAAUUGACUCCAAAUUAUUUAGAUCAUUAGUGAACCUCUCUCCAAGAACCUGCUCCAGUAACAAAAGCCAGCACCAAGCAAGUCAUGUGUGAUUUGGUGGUUUCCAUGAAAAGUCUGUGCAUAGCAAUGGGGAAACUGAGGCAGAGUGAUUCCAUGACUUGCCCAAAGCUACAGAGGGAGUAUGUAUCAGAGACAGGAGGAGGAUUUGGGGACUCCUAUCUCCCAAUCCUGCACACAGACCAGCACUGCACUCGGCCAAGCGUUCAGAGGAGAGCCCCAGCUGCUGGAAUCCGAGAUUGCAGGAGAAUUUCGGCUUUCAUGUAACAUAAAAAAGCAAGUGUUCUCCACAACCAGGAGGGCUAGAAAGCUGGGAAACAUGAUGUGAGGCCACACUAAAGGCUUACAAAUCUGGAUGCAAAUUUUAAAACAAAUUAUGAAAAAGAAAAAUCUCAUGAUAUUUAAAUCAAUCUCAUGAUUUUUUGGGGCUGACUCUUGAUUUUUGAAUGCUUGAGGUUGGCAAUACUGGGUCUGAAGCAGGAAGAUCGACAGCCCUUUUGAUAUCGUCCUAGCUGGUGUCACCACAGACUAUUCUCAUUCAUAUAAAUGUCUAAGCUUUUAAUGUUACACCACUAUUGAGCUUAACACUCUACAUGCAGAUAAAGGGAGUCCAUUGGCUCUGACAGCAAUGCUCCCUCACGCGGCCUUAAUUAUAUCUGCUUUCAUAUUUUCUUAAACCUCCAGAAUCUCUCCCUUUUUUAGUGACAGAGUCCCCCCUUUUCAAACUAUGAGCCCUCAAUUCUAUAACAGAGAGCUGUUUCCAGGGAAAAUACGGGACAGGAAACACAAGAGACAAAAAUGUGUCUAGAAAACGUAGUCUUCUCAAUUUACCCCUUCUGUCAAGUAUUCCGAAAUCCCAAAUCUAUAUUGAAAGUGAUUUGCAAAUUAAACCUUAGGCUGUUCAAUAGAGAACCUCGUUUACUCACACAAAUGACUGGGAGACUCACUGCAUUACAAUUCGCUCAGUAUAAAUCACUAGCAUUUUGCACAGUUUUAAAAAAGGAUAAUGCAGCAACAAAAGGUCAUACUUUCAUUUAACUUGACGGGUGCAAUUUAGUUCUAAAUAAGAACUAAAUAACUUUAACUGUGUGCUAAGGCCAAUGUUUUCAAACUGGGGAGCCUAAAGUUAGAUGCAUAAGUAACUAUAAUGGGAGUAGGAGGUGACAAGCUCCUUGGAAAAUCAGGCCACUUAUUUAGGUCUCUGGAUACGGAUUUAGGUCCGUUUGACUAUGCUGGCCUAAAUGCACUUUGUGUGGUAAAGAUUUGUUUUGUUUGAGUAACGAAGACUUAGAAACAGGAGAUCUCACACUGUAGCACCACCUCUGCUAGUAGAGCUUUGCUGAGAAGUUGUGUGAAGUUGCCUUUGCUUGUGUGAACUGCAGUGUGUGUAGAUGAAUGCAGUGAGAAUAAGCCAAGUUCUAAUGUAGUUUCAAAGUGAGCAAAGGGUGGGGAGAGAGGAAAAUCCUCUCCUCUCCCAACUCUGGGCGGUGGAGCUUUAAUACAUAUUCAAAUGCCGCAACUCUUCAUUUUAAGACAUAUUUUUCAGUGCGCUCAGUAAUUGCUUCCCACCAAAUGACCAGCAUCGGGCUGUCUAAUGCAUCAGUGGCAUUGGGUUAAGUUCCUGGGGUGUCAGGGCUGCAUGCCAUCAGGAAACAGGCUGUUUCAAUGCAGCACAGUACCCUGCAAAGGAAUACAUAGGCUGCAUUGUGCCUUUGAAGCAAAGAGCUCUUCAGCAGUUAAAACAAAAAAUUGGGGUGGCAUUUUAAAUGCUCAGCAUUGACUUAACUCUGCUCCCACUGAAGUUGGUGGCCAAUGCUGAGCACGUUGGAAAAUCCCAUCCUUAAUUUCAAAAGCAACAGAAAAAGAGGCUGAAGCACCUUUUUAUUAGUCCUGAAAAUUCGUCUGCUGCUCCAUUCGUAGAGUCAGAUAUGGGCACAACUAGGCCACAUGACACCCUUGAGAUGAUGGGGGAUGGGAGAAGAGUUUUUUGUAUGCAUAGUCAUGGUCAGUCAGCUAACAUGGGAUGAAGGCUAAGUGACCCUGCAUGAGUGAAGUGGAAAGCGAUGGUAGGCAAUACUGUAGUGUCCUUUCCCCCGCCCUUCCUAGAGAACCUCA
Malaclemys terrapin pileata is the source of this 2322-nucleotide long non-coding RNA. RefSeq lists it as uncharacterized. The transcript has 3 exons. Lineage: Eukaryota; Metazoa; Chordata; Testudines; Emydidae. The record is from RefSeq and is a predicted model, not a curated record.